GGGGAUAGUAGAAGAUAGGAAAGGCAGCAGAAUACAACAGACACUAGUAUAGCAAUAUGUAAAACUGGAUGUGUAACCGAUGUGAUGCUGCAAUCUGUAUAGGGGUAAAAAUGGGAGUUCAUAACCCACUUGAAUCAAAGUGUGAAAUAUGAUAUGUCAAGAACUAUGUAAUGUUUUGAACAACCAACAAUAAAAAUUAAAGGAAAAAAAAGUUAAGAAAUAAUAGUCCAGAAAAUCCUUUGAAAAUCAAAUGUCUUUUUUGAGUUAUUUACCAUAUUUUAUUUUUUUAAACAUUUUAUUUUUAAAUACAUGGCAGCAGAAUGCAUUACAAUUCUUAAUAUACAUAUAGAGCAAAAUUUUUCAUAUCUCUGUAUGUUAUUUUCCAUCUUGAAAAUAUACUUCAAGGUGGGAUUAUUCUUUGCUUUUCAUACUUUUCCUCAUAAUUCAUUUAUUUUCCUCUAUGAAGAUUUACAAGUAGUCUCUCUUUGAAAACUAUAAAAUAUCUAGGCCUAAACUUACUACAUAAUUUUUUUCAAGUCUAUUUAAAAAAUUAUGAAACAUAAUUGAAGGGCAUUUUAAGUUAUAAUUAAUUGAGCAACAGUGAAUAUAUGAAAGUUGUGCAAUAGGCGUAUUUCAUAUAUGUGUGUGUAUGUAUGUGUGUGUAUAUAUGUAUGGUUUUAUAUAGUGAUUAACAUAACCAAUUAACACAGCCAUCACUAACCAAUGCUGCACAUUAUAUCCCCAGAAAUUGUUCAUCAUAUAACUGAAAAUUUCUACCUUUGAUAAACAUUUCUGCUACCCCCUCUCCUUAGAGUUCUGUUUCUAUUAUCUGAUCUAUUCUGGUACAUAUACAAAAAAGUGUCUUGAAGAAAUAUCUGUGCCUGCAUGCUUAUUGGAACAUUAUUCAUAAUAGACAAGAUUUGAAAUAACCUCAGUGGAUGAAUGAAUACAGAAACUGAUACGUAGAUAAAGUUGAAAUGUUGUUUAGCCACAAAAAAAGUAGGAAUCAUUCCACUUGAGACAUCAUAGAUCAACCUGAAGGAUAUUAUGCUAAGUGAAAUAAGCUGCUGAGAGCCACGGCCGAGUCUGUAUGGCCCCUGGCAUUUUGCCAACAGUAUUGAUUGACAGGCGAGGCAUUACUAUCCGCCUCUGCCGCAACUUUUGAGUUCUCGCACUAUUUUGGAGUUCUCAUGGGGAUUUCCGGGGAUUCCCCGAGAGUUCCCAUUGGUUGGGGAAGUGCAGGAGGAGGGAUUUCCGGGAGAGAUAUUUCCGGCUGGGGGUUCCUGGACAAGCCUCCUGGCGCGUUCGGGAGGAUUCCCCGGGAGCUGUGUGAAGUGUUUUCCUGCAGUUUAAAAAUAAAGUUUGUUCCUGCUUCAGUGGCUCGUGAUUUGUGCCCAGCCAGACUGCGGCAUUUGGCGGCCCGUUCGGGGAACGUCUGAAGCUUCGGGGUAAGUGAAAUUGCUUGCCCCUAAGGGAAGGCGAGAGAAUGGGCGACCAUUUUAAAAAACAAUGUGUUCUUGUUUUGAUUUGUUUUGUGUUUGUUUCAAGCUGCCUAUCCCUAGAAUUUUCUCAGGCAGAUUGGGAAAAAUGGUUGGCUCAAGGUUUGAAGUUGUUCGCCCCUGAGGAAGAGAUAGAAAUAGACCACAAAUGCACAUG
This 1656-nucleotide long non-coding RNA is filed under the name Marmota monax (woodchuck). The record is from RNAcentral. Lineage: Eukaryota; Metazoa; Chordata; Mammalia; Rodentia; Sciuridae.